GACGAACGCUGGCGGCGUGCUUAACACAUGCAAGUCGAACGGAAAGGCCCUGCUUUUGUGGGGUGCUCGAGUGGCGAACGGGUGAGUAACACGUGAGUAACCUGCCCUUGACUUUGGGAUAACUUCAGGAAACUGGGGCUAAUACCGGAUAGGAGCUCCUGCUGCAUGGUGGGGGUUGGAAAGUCUCGGCGGUUGGGGAUGGACUCGCGGCUUAUCAGCUUGUUGGUGGGGUAGUGGCUUACCAAGGCUUUGACGGGUAGCCGGCCUGAGAGGGUGACCGGCCACAUUGGGACUGAGAUACGGCGCAGACUCCAACGGGAGGCAGCAGUGGGGAGUAUUGCACAAUGGGCGGAAGCCUGAUGCAGCAGCGCCGCGUGCGGGAUGACGGCCUUCGGGUUGUAAACCGCUUUCGCCUGUGACGAAGCGUGAGUGACGGUAAUGGGUAAAGAAGCACCGGCUAACUACGUG
Molecule: ribosomal RNA, 468 nt
Filed under: uncultured bacterium
Lineage: Bacteria
Description: partial 16S ribosomal RNA
Rfam family: Bacterial small subunit ribosomal RNA
Source: RNAcentral